GGCAGCAUGGCCGAGUGGUCUAAGGCGCUGGAAUUAGGUACUUCCUAUUCAUCCAGUCCGAAAGGGCGUGGGUUCGAACCCCACUGCUGUCA
Molecule: non-coding RNA, 92 nt
Organism: Mycena olivaceomarginata
Lineage: Eukaryota; Fungi; Basidiomycota; Agaricomycetes; Agaricales; Mycenaceae
Source: the annotation of a GenBank genome assembly